RNAcentral lists this long non-coding RNA (944 nucleotides) under Salmo salar (Atlantic salmon). RNAcentral's name for it is "lncRNA (ENSSSAG00000098671.1)". The record is from RNAcentral. Lineage: Eukaryota; Metazoa; Chordata; Actinopteri; Salmoniformes; Salmonidae.
UUGUUCUGUGAUUUACUCCUCCCAUGUUUGAGUUUUUGCCUGCCUCACUAACGACGCCUUUUUCCUAUUCCCUGCCUGUACUUUAGCCUAUCAGAUUUCCUGUUAUCAUCCUAUUGCCUGAUCUCCUGGACAGCGAGACACAUCCCUGACAAGUUCUGCCAAAAUCUUUCCUCUGCAUCACAACAGACAAGUAAUAGCCCUUAUGUACAUUCGAUGUUCUGCCAAAAUCUUUCCUCUGCAUCACAACAGACAAUAUCUAACAAAGAGACAUUGACAGGGGAGAUCACCAUGAGGGCUGCCUGUCACAGGUCCAUGAGGAAGAGUGAAAAGCCACACAGCAUGAGAGAAGUGCUCUGUUCAAUCAUCUGGUGGCCCUUCUUUACCAGACAGCGCACUACUCUCAGCUAAACAUUCCUGCUGCACCACCAGUUCACAGCUGCACAGACACAGAACAGCGUUGGCACAAGCCAAGAACACUUGGUGUGAAACCAGGUCCGGUUGAUGGGAUAGAGUUCCGUAAACCUACUAACUCGUGUGCUGAUGGAAUAAGAAGUUCUCUCUACAAAACACUCAAUGGAUACAUGCCUGACAUGGACCUUCUCCGCCUCCCAGAAACGUAUGCCAACUUUUCUCCACUUACUGCCCCGCUUGUGACAACAAUGGAAAUGUCAGCUGACGUGCCCCUGGUUGAGUCUGCCUUUGGGCCAGUGCAAGCCGGCAGUGUUCUGUCCUAUCAGCUUCCACAGCCAAAGACCCGUGAAAUUGUGAAGAUUGCCGAUGCCACUUCUCCACCAAUACUUCCAUUAGAUGGCUACAGGCUUCAGGCUUCCCAGUGUGCUUACGUCCUUAGCCAUCAGGAGCAGUUCCACCUCAAGGCAUUAGAGACAACCUACGAGAUGUCACACAAAGUCGAGGUUGCUACAAGGGAGCAGAGCAGCAUCCCG